CUACGUGCCAGCAGCCGCGGUAAUACGGAAGGUCCGGGCGUUAUCCGGAUUUAUUGGGUUUAAAGGGAGCGUAGGCUGGAGAUUAAGUGUGUUGUGAAAUGUAGACGCUCAACGUCUGACUUGCAGCGCAUACUGGUUUCCUUGAGUACGCACAACGUUGGCGGAAUUCGUCGUGUAGCGGUGAAAUGCUUAGAUAUGACGAAGAACUCCGAUUGCGAAGGCAGCUGACGGGAGCGCAACUGACGCUGAAGCUCGAAGGUGCGGGUAUCGAACAGGAUUAGAUACCCUGGUAGUCCGCACAGUAAACGAUGGAUGCCCGCUGUUGGUACCUGGUAUCAGCGGCUAAGCGAAAGCAUUAAGCAUCCCACCUGGGGAGUACGCCGGCAACGGUGAAACUCAAAGGAAUUGACGGGGGCCCGCACAAGCGGAGGAACAUGUGGUUUAAUUCGAUGAUACGCGAGGAACCUUACCCGGGCUUGAAUUGCAGAGGAAGGAUUUAGAGAUAA
RNAcentral lists this ribosomal RNA (506 nucleotides) under uncultured bacterium. RNAcentral describes it as "bacterial SSU rRNA". It matches the Rfam family "Bacterial small subunit ribosomal RNA", at positions 501 to 1009 of the family's 1533-position model. The record is from RNAcentral.